UGGGACUGAAGAGGCAGAAACAAAUGCUAUGUAUGAUAAAGAACUAAAGGAGGCCAUUAGAGGAGUACAAGAUGGUGUGACUGCUAUAAACGAGCAUUUGGAAGAGUCCAGUAAACAAACUCGUGACACAUCCUUGGCACUAAAGUGAUGGACAAAAACAAGCAGUUGAUUAUUUUCUCUUUGGCAAUUUGAUGCUGGUGGAAAACUAUUGCAUAAAUUGGAUACUAAGCUUGCAGUUAGCUCUUAUGGGGAGGGUGAACUCGCCAGCCUUAUUCAAAUAUUAUACAUUAAACAACCUCCAUCAACAGUCUCUGGAUAUGAUGAUGAGGUGGAAUGGGCAGAAUAAAAAAUCAAAGAAACUAAUAUGUUUACUGUAGACAAAUAUCAACAGGCGAGGUUUUCCAACACUUCAGAGCUGUAGAUUUCACUUUAUAAUUUGGUGCUUUUCCAUGGAGAUAUAGCUUAUAGCAUAUUUAUUUUAUCGCUAGCAUAGUAUGGGAGUUUGAGUUUCUGCAUUUUCCCUCUUGUCAUGUAUGGUUUUAACCCAUGAUGAGGGUAGCUCCA
Molecule: long non-coding RNA, 564 nt
Organism: Humulus lupulus (European hop)
Lineage: Eukaryota; Viridiplantae; Streptophyta; Magnoliopsida; Rosales; Cannabaceae
Exons: 4
Source: RefSeq, a predicted model, not a curated record